AUUGAACGCUGGCGGCAUGCCUUACACAUGCAAGUCGAACGGCAGCACGGGAGCAAUCCUGGUGGCGAGUGGCGAACGGGUGAGUAAUAUAUCGGAACGUGCCCAGUAGUGGGGGAUAGCCCGGCGAAAGCCGGAUUAAUACCGCAUACGACCUGAGGGUGAAAGCGGGGGAUCGCAAGACCUCGCGCUAUUGGAGCGGCCGAUAUCAGAUUAGCUUGUUGGUGGGGUAAAAGCCUACCAAGGCGACGAUCUGUAGCUGGUCUGAGAGGACGACCAGCAAAACGGGGACUGAGACACGGCCCAGAUCCCUACGGGAGGCAGCAGUGGGGAAUUUUGGACAAUGGGCGCAAGCCUGAUCCAGCCAUGCCGCGUGCGGGAAGAAGGCCUUCGGGUUGUAAACCGCUUUUGUCAGGGAAGAAACGGCUCUUGAUAAUACCGAGAGCUAAUGACGGUACCUGAAGAAUAAGCACCGGCUAACUACGUGCCAGCCGCCGCAGUAA
RNAcentral lists this ribosomal RNA (500 nucleotides) under uncultured bacterium. RNAcentral's name for it is "partial 16S ribosomal RNA". It matches the Rfam family "Bacterial small subunit ribosomal RNA", at positions 29 to 523 of the family's 1533-position model. The record is from RNAcentral.